Molecule: ribosomal RNA, 442 nt
Filed under: uncultured bacterium
Lineage: Bacteria
Description: partial 16S ribosomal RNA
Rfam family: Bacterial small subunit ribosomal RNA
Source: RNAcentral
CCUACGGGAGGCAGCAGUGGGGAAUAUUGGGCAAUGGGCGCAAGCCUGACCCAGCAACGCCGCGUGAAGGAAGAAGGCCUUCGGGUUGUAAACUGCUUUUAUAAGCGAGAAAUAUGAUGGUAACUUAUGAAUAAGGAUCGGCUAACUACGUGCCAGCAGCCGCGGUCAUACGUAGGAUCCGAGCAUUAUCCGGAGUGACUGGGUGUAAAGAGUUGCGUAGGUGGCAUAAUAAGUAGCUAGUGAAAUCUGGUGGCUCAACCAUUCAGACUAUUAGCUAAACUGUUAAGCUCGAGACCGUUAGGGGUAACUGGAAUUUCUAGUGUAGGAGUGAAAUCCGUAGAUAUUAGAAGGAACACCAAUAGCGUAGGCAGGUUGCUGGGACGGUUCUGACACUAAGGCACGAAAGCGUAGGGAGCAAACGGGAUUAGAUACCCUGGUAGUC